UGGGGAAUAUUGGACAAUGGGGGCAACCCUGAUCCAGCCAUGCCGCGUGAGUGAUGAAGGCCUUCGGGUUGUAAAGCUCUUUUGGCGGGGACGAUGAUGACGGUACCCGCAGAAUAAGCCCCGGCUAACUUCGUGCCAGCAGCCGCGGUAAGACGAAGGGGGCUAGCGUUGUUCGGAAUUACUGGGCGUAAAGCGAGUGUAGGCGGUUGCCGUAGUCAGGUGUGAAAGCCUUGAGCUCAACUCAAGAAAUGCACUUGAUACUGGGUGACUAGAGGACCGGAGAGGAUAGUGGAAUUCCCAGUGUAGUGGUGAAAUACGUAGAGAUUGGGAAGAACACCAGUGGCGAAGGCGGCUAUCUGGACGGUUACUGACGCUAAGACUCGAAAGCGUGGGGAGCAAAACAGGAUUAGAUACCCUGGUAGUCCACGCCGUAAACGAUGGGUGCUAGACGUUGGCGAGCCUGCUCGUCAGUGUCGCAGCUAACGCGUUAAGCA
RNAcentral lists this ribosomal RNA (494 nucleotides) under uncultured bacterium. RNAcentral describes it as "partial 16S ribosomal RNA". It matches the Rfam family "Bacterial small subunit ribosomal RNA", at positions 355 to 866 of the family's 1533-position model. The record is from RNAcentral.